This 524-nucleotide ribosomal RNA is filed under the name uncultured bacterium. Its description in RNAcentral is "partial 16S ribosomal RNA". It matches the Rfam family "Bacterial small subunit ribosomal RNA", at positions 355 to 868 of the family's 1533-position model. The record is from RNAcentral.
UGGGGAAUUUUGGACAAUGGGCGCAAGCCUGAUCCAGCCAUGCCGCGUGCGGGAAGAAGGCCUUCGGGUUGUAAACCGCUUUUGUCAGGGAAGAAAUCUUCUGAGUUAAAUACCUCGGGAGGAUGACGGUACCUGAAGAAUAAGCACCGGCUAACUACGUGCCAGCAGCCGCGGUAAUACGUAGGGUGCAAGCGUUAAUCGGAAUUACUGGGCGUAAAGCGUGCGCAGGCGGUUUUGUAAGACAGAGGUGAAAUCCCCGGGCUCAACCUGGGAACUGCCUUUGUGACUGCAAGGCUUGAGUGCGGCAGAGGGGGGAUGGAAUUCCGCGUGUAGCAGUGAAAUGCGUAGAUAUGCGGAGGAACACCGAUGGCGAAGGCAAUCCCCUGGGCCUGCACUGACGCUCAUGCACGAAAGCGUGGGGAGCAAACAGGAUUAGAUACCCUGGUAGUCCACGCCCUAAAACGAUGUCAACUGGGUUGUUGGGAAGGUUCCUUCUCAGUAGCGUAGCUAACGCGUGAAGUUGA